Molecule: long non-coding RNA, 1115 nt
Organism: Saccostrea cuccullata (small rock oyster)
Lineage: Eukaryota; Metazoa; Mollusca; Bivalvia; Ostreida; Ostreidae
Exons: 3
Source: RefSeq, a predicted model, not a curated record
UCUCAUUAUCGAUACGAUUCUAGAGCGGAUUCUGGACCGUGGCCUAAGACAAUAAGUUCAAGUUGAUGUUUCUGAUGGAGAUGAUUUGUAAGGAAAGAUCUUUUUCUGAAUAAUGUCUGUUACGUUGCCUUUUCGUCCUAAAGAUGAACUAAACAUGCAUGAUGGAUUGAUGCUAAAUGAGCAUAAAAGUGUUUGUAAAUGAAGGAGAAAACAAGAGCCCGGAGUGCCAGGACCUAACAACUGCCAAAGCUUGAAAUUUCUUAUGUGAUAUCAACACUAUUCAGUAUUUCAUUUGGAACAGAAAAAAUCUGCAGACUGAGAUACUUGUACUGAGGAAAUACCUGCUGUUGAAGGAAAAACCCAAGACUUGUUUAGGUAGAAACAACAAUAUGCAGAUAGUUCAAAUUGCUGCAUCUAUUGGAGCACCCAUCGUCGUCAGGAAUUUUUCUUGAAUUUCCAGCAUUUCAAAAAAUGCACCUUGCAGGCAUGGAUUGAUUGUUGUAGCUUAACACAUGUUACAAGAUUAUUUAACCCUGAUGAGAAGUCACAAGAUGCAGUGAAUGACACUUGGGACCAAUGAGGAGUGAGGGUUCUUUAGUGUGCCAAUAUCUGCUGUUCCAACCUUUACUCUCUCAACCAAAAGACCUCCAACUUUACAGCACCAGAAUAUAUGAUUAGCCACUGGGGAAAAUUUUUACAAACUUUUCAUAUGUAACAAUAUUGCAAGUUUAUAGUGUUGUUCUACAUGUAAACAGCAUGUACAUCAUUUUUUAGAUAUACAGAUGUGAUGAAAUAAUUAGGAACUCUAGUUAGUGUACGGUUAGUUUUACCCCACAUGUAUAUAUGUUAUAUCUCAUAAAAAAACUAGUUAAAAAAAUCAAAGUCUGUAUAUAAGGUAACAGCUAAUACAUGUAGCUAUUUAAAAUGACUGAGUGAAAUCAUUAUAAACAAACAUAUACAAUUAAAAUAUUUUUGUAUAUUAAAUUUCAUCAAUACAUGUAUUUGAUACCGAAUGGUACUGUUUGAUACUCCAUAGUUAAAUCUAUUAUACCUGUCAUCAUUUUGUCCUGAAAUGUGAAAUACUUUAUUACUAAAGUAUUUUACCUGUGUGUGAA